This 254-nucleotide ribosomal RNA is filed under the name uncultured bacterium. RNAcentral describes it as "partial 16S ribosomal RNA". It matches the Rfam family "Bacterial small subunit ribosomal RNA", at positions 524 to 776 of the family's 1533-position model. The record is from RNAcentral.
UACGAAGGGGGCUAGCGUUGUUCGGAAUUACUGGGCGUAAAGCGCGCGCAGGCGGUCUUCCAAGUCAGUGGUGAAAGCCCGGAGCUCAACUCCGGAAUUGCCAUUGAAACUGUGAGACUGGAGUACGAGAGAGGUGAGUGGAAUUCCCAGUGUAGAGGUGAAAUUCGUAGAUAUUGGGAAGAACACCGGUGGCGAAGGCGGCUCACUGGCCCGAGUACUGACGCUGAGGCACGAAAGCGUGGGGAGCAAAUAGG